CCUACGGGAGGCUGCAGUGAGGAAUAUUGGUCAAUGGGCGAAAGCCUGAACCAGCCAAGUAGCGUGCAGGAUGACGGCCCUAUGGGUUGUAAACUGCUUUUACAGGGGAAUAAAGUGAUUCACGUGUGUUUCAUUGCAUGUACCCUGCGAAUAAGGACCGGCUAAUUCCGUGCCAGCAGCCGCGGUAAUACGGAAGGUCCUGGUGUUAUCCGGAUUUAUUGGGUUUAAAGGGAGCGUAGGCCGCAGAUUAAGUGUGUUGUGAAAUUCAGGCGCCCAACGUCUGACUUGCAGCGCAAACUGGUCUGCUUGAGUUCGCGCAACGCAGGCGGAAUUCGUCGUGUAGCGGUGAAAUGCUUAGAUAUGACGAAGAACUCCGAUUGCGAAGGCAGCUUGCGGGAGCGUUACUGACGCUGAAGCUCGAAAGUGCGGGUAUCGAACAGGAUUAGAUACCCGAGUAGUC
This 460-nucleotide ribosomal RNA is filed under the name uncultured Prevotella sp. RNAcentral describes it as "bacterial SSU rRNA". It matches the Rfam family "Bacterial small subunit ribosomal RNA", at positions 338 to 795 of the family's 1533-position model. Lineage: Bacteria; Pseudomonadati; Bacteroidota; Bacteroidia; Bacteroidales; Prevotellaceae. The record is from RNAcentral.